Eriocheir sinensis (Chinese mitten crab) is the source of this 767-nucleotide long non-coding RNA. RefSeq lists it as uncharacterized. Lineage: Eukaryota; Metazoa; Arthropoda; Malacostraca; Decapoda; Varunidae. The record is from RefSeq and is a predicted model, not a curated record. The transcript is spliced from 6 exons.
AAAAGACAACGGGAGGUCAUUUUAUACGGAAAUUUCCAACAUGUAACCUUUUUUUAUUGCUAUUCCAGAAGUACACCCGAUGGCAGGCCGAACCCUAUCUCUCCUUCGGGGGCCAAGUUGUGAUUUGCUUGGCAGGAGCCGUGGUGCGGAACACUGGAGGCUGAGUGUGACGCUCCUUGUUGGCCGCUAUGAUGAUGAUGUGGUUUCGUGGAAGUUGGCGAAGUUAUUCCCUUAUGAUAACGUGACUGGCCUUCCUCCCUCGCGGUGAAUUCGCUCUGUUUAGACACCAUUAAGAGUCAUGUCUAUUUUAUGUGAUUCCGUGGGAAUUAGCCGCUGUAAAGACACGCCAUGCAGAUCAAAGAGAAGUACACCCGAUGGCAGGCCGAACCCUAUCUCUCCUUCGGGGGCCAAGUUGUGAUUUGCUUGGCAGGAGCCGUGGUGCGGAACACUGGAGGCUGAGUGUGACGCUCCUUGUUGGCCGCUAUGAUGAUGAUGUGGUUUGGCUACUACCAGCUGAGAGGCCACAGCAUGCUGUCCUGAAGACCGGCCAGCAACCCGGACUCUAGAGCAGUGGUUUGCAUUGGUUGGUGUAGCAGUGCCGGGAGGAGCCAUAACACUCACCUCAACAACAGUCUCUUCACCGACAAGUAAUUCUUCACCAACCAGCUUUUCAGCAGCUUGGAGAAAUAGAGACAAGAGGAGGAAGAGGAAGAAGAAGAAGAAGAGGAAGAGGAGGAUGACUUUGAAGACCAGCAGACAGACAGAAA